This 774-nucleotide ribosomal RNA is filed under the name uncultured Neocallimastigales. RNAcentral's name for it is "partial large subunit ribosomal RNA". It matches the Rfam family "Eukaryotic large subunit ribosomal RNA", at positions 24 to 633 of the family's 3401-position model. The record is from RNAcentral. Lineage: Eukaryota; Fungi; Neocallimastigomycota; Neocallimastigomycetes; Neocallimastigales.
GUAGUCUCGCACAGAUGCAUAUCAAUAAGCGGAGGAAAAGAAACUAACAAGGAUUCCCCUAGUAACGGCGAGUGAAGCGGGAAGAGCUCAAAUUUGAAAUCUUAAAGGGUUUCCCUUUACGAAUUGUAGUUUAAAGAAGUGUUUUCUGUUGAGGUUUUGGUAAAAGUUCUUUGGAAUAGGACAUCAUAGAGGGUGAGAAUCCCGUAUUUGACCUUUACUUUCAACUUUGUGAUACACUUUCAAAGAGUCGGAUUGUUUGGGAAUGCAGUCCAAAAUGGGUGGUAAAUUUCAUCUAAAGCUAAAUAUUGGCGAGAGACCGAUAGCGAACAAGUACCGUGAGGGAAAGAUGAAAAGAACUUUGAAAAGAGAGUUAAACAGUACGUGAAAUUGUCAAAAGGGAAGCGUCUGACACCAGUGUUGUUUUUCUGAAAAUCAAUUAAAGAACUGUUUAUGCUAAGCUGUUUAGACUUUAUCAGCUAACUGUUUAGUUUUGAGCUUUUCUUUAAUGCACUUUUCAGUUAACAAGUCAACAUCAAUUUCUUUUGCUGUAAAAAAGCUUGAGGAAGGUGGCUUGAGAUUCGUCUUAAGUGUUUAUAGCCUCUUGCCUAUGCAGUCGGAGAGAUUGAGGUCUGCAGCGUAGAUCCUUCGGGGCUAAAUGCAUUUGUGCUAAGUUAUAGCAUUUUAUAGACAACUUGUUGACUAUGAUUUGUCUUGUAGCUUACUCGCUUAUGUUAUUUUACCUACGCUUAGGAUGUUGAAGACUCUACAGAGAUA